This 414-nucleotide ribosomal RNA is filed under the name uncultured microorganism. RNAcentral describes it as "bacterial SSU rRNA". It matches the Rfam family "Archaeal small subunit ribosomal RNA", at positions 459 to 872 of the family's 1478-position model. The record is from RNAcentral.
CAGCCGCCGCGGUAAUACCGGCGGCCCGAGUGGCGGUCACUAUUAUUGGGCUUAAAGCGUCCGUAGCCGGGGUGGGAAGUCCUCCGGGAAAUCUGGCCGCUUAAAGGUCAGAAUGCCGGAGGAUACUCCCAGCCUAGGGAGCGGGAGAGGCCGAGGGGAUUCCCGGAGUAGGGGGGAAAUCCUAUAAUCCCGGGAGGACCACCGGUGGCGAAGGCGCUCGGCUGGAACGCGUCCGACGGUGAGGGACGAAGGCCAGGGGAGCAAACCGGACUAGAUACCCGGGUAGUCCUGGCUGUAAACGAUGCGGACUUUGUGUCGGACAAGCUAUGAGCUUGUCCGGUGCCGGAGGGAAACCGUUAAGUCCGCCGCCUGGGGAGUACGGCCGCAAGGCUGAAACUUAAAGGAAUUGGCGGG